This 654-nucleotide unclassified non-coding RNA is filed under the name Helichrysum kraussii. RNAcentral's name for it is "partial external transcribed spacer". Lineage: Eukaryota; Viridiplantae; Streptophyta; Magnoliopsida; Asterales; Asteraceae. The record is from RNAcentral.
AUGCGUUGUUGGUGAUGACAUUAGCCUCGAGGUGAUGCGGUGUCAUGUUGCCUGUGUAUCCUGGUUUCGAGCUAUUGAGCUUAAAACACGUGGAUUAUCGGUUGGUGACAUGGCAUCGCUCCCUUGGUUGAUGAAAGUCGUCCAAUGAUGCAGUGGUUUGUUUGUUUUCUUCUCGCAUCGCUCGGUGCAUUCUGGGGUCAUUUUGGCUACUGGUAGCUUGCUUGGCAAUUGAGCUUGGUGGGUUGCUACUAGUUGGGUGUCUUCGGGGAUGUCUACCGUAAAGGUGCAUGAGUGGUGUUUGGUUUGUUACGGGUGGUUGGCUCUUUGCUUGCGCAACAACUUCUACCCGGCAUACCUCUUCAGUCUUGUGUCAAUGCUUGUUUUGCAUUGAAUGCACGGCGGGUUUCUUGUGUUGCAUGCCUAAUUGAUGGUAUCGUUUGAUGAAUUGGUUUUCCUUUCGUUUUGCAUCGCCUUGGAGAUGUGAGAUGAACCUUGAAGCAGUCUUUGUGAUCCACUCUUUUGAUGCAUACGCAUUGAUUUUGUGGCCCAUUGAGUGUUGCUCGGUGUCAUGGAUAUGGAACAUGUUGUGGGCAUGGAAAUCUUAAUGGUUCCUCGUUUGCCCAAGUUUAGCUUUUCUAAAACGAUGGYCUAUCA